Long non-coding RNA from Herpailurus yagouaroundi (jaguarundi), 218 nucleotides. RefSeq lists it as uncharacterized. The transcript is spliced from 3 exons. NCBI's taxonomy places the organism in Eukaryota, Metazoa, Chordata, Mammalia, Carnivora, Felidae. The record is from RefSeq and is a predicted model, not a curated record.
GGGAGCCAUGCUCCUGACUGGUUCCCUUGGACUUUGAUGGAUUCAGGUUUGAGUCUGGACAAGGACUAGAAGCAGACAAAACUUCAAAAACAGAGAACAGGGAAAAUGGAUUCUCCCCAGGUGAAACGGGUGAGACCCUGAGGACACCUACAGGUCCCACUGAGAACAGGGCAGCUUUCUUCCCUAACUGGCGCCAGUCACUGAGGAAAUCUUUCCGA